CCUCCGCUUCCCCCAAGGUUGGCGCCCGGGAGCCGUGCUCUGGGACCACACUCCUCUUUGGCUCUGGGAAUUUCUCCUCCCACGUGGAGGCCCCCACAGCAGUGGACACCACCCAGCCAGGCCCACCUGACCGGUCAGGCUCAAACCCUCUGGUACCCGCCCCACCCAUAGGACCAGGUGUAAACCAGGCAGCGACACCCCAGACGUGUGGUCUUGGUCAGCUCCCCUGGGCUCCUCUCCCUCCAGCUGGCCCUUCUCUGCCCAGGAAACAGUUUUCUGAAGAGUUCUCCGUUCUCGAGCCUUCCAGCUGCGUGGGAGAGAGUUGACCCCAAGGCUGGGACCACAAGAGGCCAGGGAGGGUGGGCCUGGGAUCUGCAGCUCACGGGCUGUGUGACUGUGGGCACGAGAUUUCAUUUCCUGAUUCAUAAAGGUGGGGACCGAUCAAAGCUACUCCUUGGACCUUUGUGAAGAUUAAAUGAGUUCAACACGGAGCAUUCUUGACCCAUGGGCCAUCCCCAGAUGAGGCUGCAGCAUUGCCCCGUGUGCUCUCAGCUGGUGCCAGUGUUGUCUGGAACUGUCUGGACCUACCUGGAAACUGAGUACCUACAGGGUUUUGUCACUUACAGUGAUUGCCAUGGUCUGAAUGCUUGUGUCCUCCUCGAAAGGAUGCAUUGCUGGGAUGGAUGAACAGGGCCAUGCGAUAAAUCCUCUAACGUUGCCACGUCUGUGCUUUUGCCUCCUUUCCUCUCCGUUGUAUGGAGGAAGUUCUGACAGCUCACUUCAUUUCACGUGGUGUGCAAGCUUCUGUCAAACAACGGAACAAACUAUGAGAACCACUUCCAGCCACUGCUUCUGCACACUUCUCUGCUAAGUGAGUCUCUGCUGUGUGAGUCUCAUUGGUAAAACUACCCUGAUCUAACAUUCUGUUACCUCCUUUGUGGUCCAACACUCCAAGAGUCCACGGCCUCAGACGCCCCUGGGUUUCUGCUGAUGUAAAUUGGCAAAAACUUGCAUUCAGUGUGUAUGUGGCUCCUCUUGGGUCUCACUGUGUGUUUAUCCCUCUGCACCCAACUCUAGUCAUGGCUCUGGGAAUAAUGAGGGUCGGUGGAGGUGGAUCUCAAGGGAGAUCUGUCAUCUUGCAAGGCUGUUUCCUCAAGUGAAGCCAUCACAGAUCUUUGGGCACAGUUUUACUCACCUCAGACUCUAAGGAAGAGUCACUUCUGCUUACAGGGAGACUCAGGAAGGUCUAAUGUUCAGGGGACUCAGAGUCAGAGAAAUCCACCCUCUCCAGUUCUCGAGGUCUCAUUCUUUCCAAAUAAAUGCCUUAACUUUGACUUAAGAGAUUUAGUAAGACAUUUAAUUAUUCUUUAGUUGUAAUUCAUUAGCCUGCAAGAUCAAAUUUGUACUCUGCAUUUAAAAAAAAAAGUUGACUCUACAGCUACAAGAACUAAAAUGGUUUUUUUAGGACAGCUAUAGAAGGGCUCUGGUUCUCUGUCUAUACCUUCAGCUGAGCACUUAAGGCCACAGCUUGUCAUUUUCUUUGUCAGUUCCCCAGUGCAAUAAGCAGCAGCCACCCCAUGCCACAUCCUUGUAUGCAUGGUUUCCAUCCACAUCCUAAUGUCCUAUUGCAAGAGCCCCCUGGUGUCUGAAACCCAGGCUUGUGAUGGGCACUGCAUCGCAGAGACCUCAAGGUAAUGAUUUUACCAGUGACAAUGUUUAUAGAUUAUCUGCAUCCUGCUUCCCACUCCUCACGUGGUCCUCACUGACAUCAGACAAAACCUGGUCUGUCCAAUUACUAACUCCAGAUUCCCAUCUUCAAGGUUCUGCCUUCCUGGAAACACUGCUGGUACCAGGAAUGGUUGGUCGGGAACACUAAAGUCACUCUAGGUAUUUUGGGUAGAAGGAGAUUCAUUGCAGGGAACUCUAGGCUUACAGAAAUGUUGAGAACUUUGGGGACUGAAGGUUAUUUCAGGAGAUCUGGAAGUGCAGGGAUAGAAGGGUAGCAUCCAUUGCCCCCUGAUAACUGUACCACUGACAUGGCUAGAAACCACCCCAGUGAUCCCAGCUGCUUGUAGCACCUCAGGGUGAUUCUCAAACUGACUCCAGAAGCCAAGGUACACUGCUGCCAAUGACUGCAGGGGCCUCUGCAAAACGGACGUUGAUGAAUGAAACAAAGUGUGAUCUACCCAUAGCAGGGAAUGUUAUUCAUCCUUAAAAAGGAAGGAAAUCCUGCAGCUCACGCCUGUCAUCCCAGCUCUUUGGGAAGCUGAGGCAGGAGAAUGGCUUGAGGCCAGGAGUUUGAGACCAGCCUGGGCAACAUAAUGAGACCCCCGUCUCUACAAAAAACAAUUUAAAAAAUUUGCUGUAGUCCCCGCUACCCAGGAGACUGAAGCAGGAGGAUAGCUUGAGCCCAGGAAGUUGAGGCUGCAGUGAGCUAUGAUCUCUCCUGUCUCUAAAAAAGAAAAAAAAUAAAAGGAAAGAAAUUAAUUCUCACACAGGCUACAAAAUGGAUGAACCUUGAGGACAUUAUGCUGAAUCAAAGAAGCCAUUCAGCAAAGGAUAAAUCCUAUAAGCUUCCCCGUAUAUGAGGAACCCAGAGCAGUGAAAUCCCCAGUGACAGGAAGUGGAUGGUGGGCACCAGGGGCUGGCAGAGAGGAUGGGAGUCAGUCUUCCAUGGGGACAGGGACAGCUUCAGUUUGGGAAGCUGAAGAAGUUCUGGAGAUGAUGAUGGUGGUGACAAGUGCACACCAACGUGAAUGUAUCAGGGACAGCUUCAGUUUGGGAACUUGAAGAAGUUCUGGAGAUGACGAUGGUGGUGACAGGUGCAUACCAACGUGAAUGUAUCAGGGACAGCUUCGGUUUGGGAAGCUGAAGAAGUUCUGGAGAUGAUGAUGGUGGUGACAGGUGCACACCAAUGUGAAUGUAUCAGGGACAGCUUCGGUUUGGGAAGCUGAAGAAGUUCUGGAGAUGAUGAUGGUGGUGACAGGUGCACACCAACGUGACUGUAUCAGGGACAGCUUCAGUUUGGGAAGUUGAAGAAGUUCUGGAGAUAAUGAUGGUGGUGACAGGUGCACACCAACAUGAAUGUAUCAGGGACAGCUUUGGUUUGGGAAGCUGAAGAAGUUCUGGAGAUGAUGAUGGUGGUGACAGGUGCACACCAACGUGAAUGUAUCAGGGACAGCUUCGGUUUGGGAAGCUGAAGAAGUUCUGGAGAUGAUGAUGGUGGUGACAGGUGCACAGCAAUGUGAAUGUAUCUAAUGGCACUAAACUGUGCACUUUAAAACUGCAUGCAUUUACAAUGGUAAAUUUUAUGUUAUGCGCAUUCCACUGUAGUGAAAAAGAGUUAACUUCACCUGAAAUGAAUUCGUGUGGUAACCAUUGG
RNAcentral lists this long non-coding RNA (3382 nucleotides) under Homo sapiens (human). RNAcentral describes it as "HSALNT0170984". Lineage: Eukaryota; Metazoa; Chordata; Mammalia; Primates; Hominidae. The record is from RNAcentral.